UGAGUACUUGGUAUAUCUUAAUGACCUGCAUAAUGUGGCUGAUUGUGCCAUUAACAGACCUGCCAACCCUUCUGUCUCUCCAGUGUCUGUUAGGCCUCAUCACUCUACGCCUAUUCCUAGUUCACUGACACCCAUUUCUGCUUCUUUCAGUCACAGACCCUCUAAUGUCAACAUCCAAGAGUCCCUGCUGCUCUGACCAGAAUCCCAUCAGUGCUGCAGCUCACCUUCAUCUCCUGGGAGAAUCCUUAUCCCUGAUUGGACGCUAUCUCCAGGAGACAGAUAAAAUGGUGUGUAUGUCAAGUAGUUUCUCUCUACUCUUGGACUCUCUGCUGUGUGCUAUGGCUCCACUUACUGGCCUCACCGUGCACGUACCAGAGCUGAGGAGCUGCACGCAGCACACAAUGGCCUCCACCUUGGAAAACAUUGCUUAUGUGAUGCCAGGCCUGUGAGUGAAAGGAGACCCCUAUUGGCUCUACACAGCAAUAAUAAACUGAAAGACACUUUGUUAGUUGAUGCUUAAAAAAUAAAUCAGGGUCAUUUUGUUUUGAGAAUAUGUUUGUUUGCACUUUGAAUGGUAUCUUUUUUUCUAAAACACAAU
Archocentrus centrarchus (flier cichlid) is the source of this 598-nucleotide long non-coding RNA. RefSeq lists it as uncharacterized. The record is from RefSeq and is a predicted model, not a curated record. The transcript has 4 exons. NCBI's taxonomy places the organism in Eukaryota, Metazoa, Chordata, Actinopteri, Cichliformes, Cichlidae.